UUAAGCGACUAAGCGUACACGGUGGAUGCCCUGGCAGUCAGAGGCGAUGAAGGACGUGCUAAUCUGCGAUAAGCGUCGGUAAGGUGAUAUGAACCGUUAUAACCGGCGAUUUCCGAAUGGGGAAACCCAGUGUGUUUCGACACACUAUCAUUAACUGAAUCCAUAGGUUAAUGAGGCGAACCGGGGGAACUGAAACAUCUAAGUACCCCGAGGAAAAGAAAUCAACCGAGAUUCCCCCAGUAGCGGCGAGCGAACGGGGAGGAGCCCAGAGCCUGAAUCAGUGUGUGUGUUAGUGGAAGCGUCUGGAAAGGCGCGCGAUACAGGGUGACAGCCCCGUACACAAAAAUGCACAUGCUGUGAGCUCGAUGAGUAGGGCGGGACACGUGGUAUCCUGUCUGAAUAUGGGGGGACCAUCCUCCAAGGCUAAAUACUCCUGACUGACCGAUAGUGAACCAGUACCGUGAGGGAAAGGCGAAAAGAACCCCGGCGAGGGGAGUGAAAGAGAACCUGAAACCGUGUACGUACAAGCAGUGGGAGCACAGAGCAAUCUGUGUGACUGCGUACCUUUUGUAUAAUGGGUCAGCGACUUAUAUUCUGUAGCAAGGUUAACCGAAUAGGGGAGCCGAAGGGAAACCGAGUCUUAACCGGGCGUUAAGUUGCAGGGUAUAGACCCGAAACCCGGUGAUCUAGCCAUGGGCAGGUUGAAGGUUGGGUAACACUAACUGGAGGACCGAACCGACUAAUGUUGAAAAAUUAGCGGAUGACUUGUGGCUGGGGGUGAAAGGCCAAUCAAACCGGGAGAUAGCUGGUUCUCCCCGAAAGCUAUUUAGGUAGCGCCUCGUGAAUUCAUCUCCGGGGGUAGAGCACUGUUUCGGCAAGGGGGUCAUCCCGACUUACCAACCCGAUGCAAACUGCGAAUACCGGAGAAUGUUAUCACGGGAGACACACGGCGGGUGCUAACGUCCGUCGUGAAGAGGGAAACAACCCAGACCGCCAGCUAAGGUCCCAAAGUCAUGGUUAAGUGGGAAACGAUGUGGGAAGGCCCAGACAGCCAGGAUGUUGGCUUAGAAGCAGCCAUCAUUUAAAGAAAGCGUAAUAGCUCACUGGUCGAGUCGGCCUGCGCGGAAGAUGUAACGGGGCUAAACCAUGCACCGAAGCUGCGGCAGCGACACUGUGUGUUGUUGGGUAGGGGAGCGUUCUGUAAGCCUGUGAAGGUGUGCUGUGAGGCAUGCUGGAGGUAUCAGAAGUGCGAAUGCUGACAUAAGUAACGAUAAAGCGGGUGAAAAGCCCGCUCGCCGGAAGACCAAGGGUUCCUGUCCAACGUUAAUCGGGGCAGGGUGAGUCGACCCCUAAGGCGAGGCCGAAAGGCGUAGUCGAUGGGAAACAGGUUAAUAUUCCUGUACUUGGUGUUACUGCGAAGGGGGGACGGAGAAGGCUAUGUUGGCCGGGCGACGGUUGUCCCGGUUUAAGCGUGUAGGCUGGUUUUCCAGGCAAAUCCGGAAAAUCAAGGCUGAGGCGUGAUGACGAGGCACUACGGUGCUGAAGCAACAAAUGCCCUGCUUCCAGGAAAAGCCUCUAAGCAUCAGGUAACAUCAAAUCGUACCCCAAACCGACACAGGUGGUCAGGUAGAGAAUACCAAGGCGCUUGAGAGAACUCGGGUGAAGGAACUAGGCAAAAUGGUGCCGUAACUUCGGGAGAAGGCACGCUGAUAUGUAGGUGAAGUCCCUCGCGGAUGGAGCUGAAAUCAGUCGAAGAUACCAGCUGGCUGCAACUGUUUAUUAAAAACACAGCACUGUGCAAACACGAAAGUGGACGUAUACGGUGUGACGCCUGCCCGGUGCCGGAAGGUUAAUUGAUGGGGUCAGCGCAAGCGAAGCUCUUGAUCGAAGCCCCGGUAAACGGCGGCCGUAACUAUAACGGUCCUAAGGUAGCGAAAUUCCUUGUCGGGUAAGUUCCGACCUGCACGAAUGGCGUAAUGAUGGCCAGGCUGUCUCCACCCGAGACUCAGUGAAAUUGAACUCGCUGUGAAGAUGCAGUGUACCCGCGGCAAGACGGAAAGACCCCGUGAACCUUUACUAUAGCUUGACACUGAACAUUGAGCCUUGAUGUGUAGGAUAGGUGGGAGGCUUUGAAGUGUGGACGCCAGUCUGCAUGGAGCCGACCUUGAAAUACCACCCUUUAAUGUUUGAUGUUCUAACGUGGACCCGUGAUCCGGGUUGCGGACAGUGUCUGGUGGGUAGUUUGACUGGGGCGGUCUCCUCCUAAAGAGUAACGGAGGAGCACGAAGGUUGGCUAAUCCUGGUCGGACAUCAGGAGGUUAGUGCAAUGGCAUAAGCCAGCUUGACUGCGAGCGUGACGGCGCGAGCAGGUGCGAAAGCAGGUCAUAGUGAUCCGGUGGUUCUGAAUGGAAGGGCCAUCGCUCAACGGAUAAAAGGUACUCCGGGGAUAACAGGCUGAUACCGCCCAAGAGUUCAUAUCGACGGCGGUGUUUGGCACCUCGAUGUCGGCUCAUCACAUCCUGGGGCUGAAGUAGGUCCCAAGGGUAUGGCUGUUCGCCAUUUAAAGUGGUACGCGAGCUGGGUUUAGAACGUCGUGAGACAGUUCGGUCCCUAUCUGCCGUGGGCGCUGGAGAACUGAGGGGGGCUGCUCCUAGUACGAGAGGACCGGAGUGGACGCAUCACUGGUGUUCGGGUUGUCAUGCCAAUGGCACUGCCCGGUAGCUAAAUGCGGAAGAGAUAAGUGCUGAAAGCAUCUAAGCACGAAACUUGCCCCGAGAUGAGUUCUCCCUGACCCUUUAAGGGUCCUGAAGGAACGUUGAAGACGACGACGUUGAUAGGCCGGGUGUGUAAGCGCAGCGAUGCGUUGAGCUAACCGGUACUAAUGAACCGUGAGGCUUAACCUU
This 2903-nucleotide ribosomal RNA is filed under the name Escherichia coli B7-1. Its description in RNAcentral is "bacterial LSU rRNA". It matches the Rfam family "Bacterial large subunit ribosomal RNA". Lineage: Bacteria; Pseudomonadati; Pseudomonadota; Gammaproteobacteria; Enterobacterales; Enterobacteriaceae. The record is from RNAcentral.